This 253-nucleotide ribosomal RNA is filed under the name uncultured bacterium. RNAcentral describes it as "partial 16S ribosomal RNA". It matches the Rfam family "Bacterial small subunit ribosomal RNA", at positions 524 to 776 of the family's 1533-position model. The record is from RNAcentral.
UACGUAGGGUGCAGGCGUUAAUCGGAAUUACUGGGCGUAAAGCGUGCGCAGGCGGUUUGCUAAGAGAGAUGUGAAAUCCCCGGGCUUAACCUGGGAACUGCGUUUCUAACUGGCAGGCUUGAGUGUGGCAGAGGGGGGUGGAAUUCCUCGUGUAGCAGUGAAAUGCGUAGAGAUGUGGAGGAACACCGAUGGCGAAGGCAGCCCCCUGGGCUAACACUGACGCUCAUGCACGAAAGCGUGGGGAGCAAACAGG